ACGGAACAAGUUGGUAAACGGAACUGCUAUACCGCAUACGAUCUAAUCUCGGCAUCGAGGAUAGAUGAAAGGUGGCCUCUACAUGUAAGCUAUCACUGAAGGAGGGGAUUGCGUCUGAUUAGCUAGUUGGAGGGGUAACGGCCCACCAAGGCGAUGAUCAGUAGCCGGUCUGAGAGGAUGAACGGCCACAUUGGGACUGAGACACGGCCCAG
RNAcentral lists this ribosomal RNA (212 nucleotides) under uncultured bacterium. Its description in RNAcentral is "partial 16S ribosomal RNA". It matches the Rfam family "Bacterial small subunit ribosomal RNA", at positions 138 to 334 of the family's 1533-position model. The record is from RNAcentral.